Non-coding RNA from Leptonychotes weddellii (Weddell seal), 1233 nucleotides. The record is from RefSeq and is a predicted model, not a curated record. NCBI's taxonomy places the organism in Eukaryota, Metazoa, Chordata, Mammalia, Carnivora, Phocidae.
AGGGCUUUCCAGGGAUCUCCUUCCCCACCACCACCCCAAAACUGGCAGAAAGGAAGAGGACAUCCGGUUAGAAACCAGCUUAGUGCUCUGCACCUUCCCUGGAUCACACUCUAGAACUUUUCCACCAAGUGGCUGCUCCACGUCUGUAUACUGCCCAGCUCCUCCAGGAAGACCUCUCAGAUUAAGUGGAAUGCCAGGCAGCAGAGCUGGGGUGCGCAGGCCUCUUCUAUCCACGCAGUUGCGGAGUGUGACAGAUGCUAGCUCCUGUAUGCUUUUGAAUUCAUCUUUGUUCUCCAUCCCCACUGGCCCCCAUCCAGACUCCCACUAAGACCCCUCCCACCAGCGCAGUCCCUUCCCCGCCCCCCACCUCCAGCAGAAUCUCACUUCCUUAUUUUCUCAACACUCCCAGGCCAGGACUCUACACGCCUCCCCCACCCCCACCCCUUUAAGUAAGCCCUGAGCCUUCGCGCUCAGCAUCUCAUUCCUGCCCCCGUGUCCCCUCCAUAGGCCACAGUCAUCACUUACUCCAGCCCCGCUGGAGCGUAAUGCCGAGGCCACAUACCUGCCUCCAGGCUCUCCCCCCACCCAUUCACCACUUUCUAAAACAUAAAUCAUUUCCUAUUUAAAAUCCUUCCAUGGGUUUCCAGCAGCCCUCAGGAUCAAGUGCAAAGUCCUUUUGGGCUCGGGACCUCAUCUUGGGCGCCGGAGCCUGCAGCCACCUCCUCUCCUGGCUCUCUCUCUUCCGCCCCAUGGAACAAUACCAUCCAUUCCCUGCAGUUACUCCCUCUGCUAAAAACCCACACCCCGUUACCUGCCCCAGUCCCCUUCAUGCUUCCUGAGUGGGGUAUCCAGCACCCCGAGGGCCCCAGGAGCACACAUCCGUCAGAGCAUCUCCCCUCGUGAAGGCAAAGACCAGUGCUUGGCAGACAGGAGGCAUAAGGGGGUCCCCGGCGGUGGGUGGAGAAGGCUACAAGCCAGUUGGGGUUCCAGGCCGGGCUUCCGGGUGUAAUAAUAGCUUCCCGGAUGAUACCACACAUCGGUCAAGGGCAGGGCGGACACAGGACGACACCGCUCACCGCUCGGUGUCAGCAGGUAGGGCAGGAGGACAGCGCUGGAAGGGAAGCCUCACAUCUGCACCCAAGGCACGCAGGUCCGGGCCGGAACCCUCUCCUGACUGAGACCAGGAAGCUGCACCCCAAAAGGGGCGCCUGGGUGGCUCAGUCGUUAAGCGUC